UCACGGCAAGAAUAUUUGAAGAAAAGGGAACUGUGGAAACUGGAAGAGCUUAGGGAUUAUCUGGAAGAUGAAUCAUACCUUUUUGGAGAUGAAAAGCUCACUGAAGCAGAAAUUCAGGAUUUUAGAUACAAGAAAGCAAUCUACGAGCUCAUAAAGAAAAGGACACAAGAAGAAGAUAAUGUAGGAGAGUAUAGAAUGCCGGAUGCAUAUGAUCAAGAUGGAAGUGUU
Non-coding RNA from Camelina sativa (false flax), 228 nucleotides. The record is from RefSeq and is a predicted model, not a curated record. NCBI's taxonomy places the organism in Eukaryota, Viridiplantae, Streptophyta, Magnoliopsida, Brassicales, Brassicaceae.